UUGCUCCAAACACAUGAAUUACCUUAUUUGUUCUUAAGCAGAUCUGCUUUUUCCUUGCCCUUUGACAGCUCACCCACUAGUUUUUUGUCUGUUUUGUUAUACAGCUGUGACACAGAUAUGUGUCAUGUGAGCCUGUAUGCACACAGGUGGAUACUUCACUGGCUAUCUGGAAACAGGGACUGUGCAAAGCCUGGAAAGCAGCAUGACCAACAAACACACAAUAGCUAGAUGGGACCCAGGAGCACAAUUAGUUGGCUCUGCUAAUGCCACGCUGGAAGAAUUUAACUAUCCCUUGCCGUGUCUGUGGCCUUUAAAUGGGGAUGCUGUUGGUGUUCUGCAAAGAGGUAUUCUAUAA
RNAcentral lists this long non-coding RNA (355 nucleotides) under Anas platyrhynchos (mallard). RNAcentral describes it as "lncRNA (ENSAPLG00020003254.1)". The record is from RNAcentral. Lineage: Eukaryota; Metazoa; Chordata; Aves; Anseriformes; Anatidae.